RNAcentral lists this ribosomal RNA (1347 nucleotides) under candidate division WWE3 bacterium CG10_big_fil_rev_8_21_14_0_10_39_14. Its description in RNAcentral is "partial 23S ribosomal RNA". It matches the Rfam family "Bacterial large subunit ribosomal RNA", at positions 1978 to 2592 of the family's 2925-position model. Lineage: Bacteria; candidate division WWE3. The record is from RNAcentral.
AAGUUCCGACCCGCAUGAAAGGCUUAACGACUUGGGCGCUCUCUUAACCAUUGACCCGGCGAAAUUGCGGUAUCCGUGAAGACGCGGAUUGCACGCCGCAGGACGAAAAGACCCUAUGGAGCUUUACUGUAACUUGACAUUGGCAACUGUUUUAGACUGUGUAGAAUAGGUGGGAGUCCGCCAACUGGCGGACGCCAGUGAAAUACCACCCUUUCUGAGAUGGAAGCCUUACCCCGGCGNNNNNNNNNNNNNNNNNNNNNNNNNNCGAGCAGAUGCGAAAGCAGGGCUUAGUGAUCCUCUAGAGCUUAGUGGUAGGCUCAGAGCUUAAUGGAUAAAAGUUACCCUAGGGAUAAAUUCUGAAAAAAGAAUUUUGUUGUCCCUCUUCUGAGUAAUCAGAUGUUAAAAUAUGGCUAAUAACGGUGGAAACUAUAUGUGCUUGGGUUUCGGGUAGACCCUUUUAAAGUGAGCAUAUUGGCAAUACCGUGGGAAGUCGAGAAACUGUAAUGAGUAUCAAAAUAACUCCAAAACAAGAGGGUGUUGUUAUAGGCUCUAUUUUGGGGGAUGGGUAUGUUCAAAAGACUGGUAGUAAAAACGCUCGUUUAAGGUACGAGCACAGUAGCAAGCAAAAGUUGUAUCUAGUGUGGAAGGUGUCAGUGCUGGGAACGCUUUUUAAUGGCAAACCAGUUUUUGUGGAGCGUGUCCAUCCGAAAACCAAUAAAACUUAUAAAUAUGUUAGGCAUCAGUCUAACUCAACGCCGUAUCUAGGUAAAUUGAGGAAAAUUUUCUACCCGGAAGGUAGAAAAAUUAUUCCUAGCAAUUUACAAGAUUUAUUGAAACACCCAAUUUCUUUGGCGGUGUGGUUUUUUGAUGAUGGUUAUUUAUGCAAGAAACACCAAGGAUCUUAUUUGUAUUUGGGAAAAGUUUCUUCGGAAGAAGCUACUGUAGCGCAAAUUGCUAUACACCAUAACUUUGAUAUAGAUUCAAAGGUUUAUUCAAAAGGUGUUAAAGGUUAUGCGUUGUAUUUCAAUUCUGCUAAUACUAAAAAAUUGGUAGGGCUGAUUAAGGAGUUUGCAUCUUCCGAUAUGAUUUACAAGGUUUCUUUGACCCCGUAACGACUGAGCGAAAUCCAUAAUGUGGAGAGUAGCGAGAUUUGUUUGUUUCAAACAACAAAUCAUACGCCAUCUCCCGACAAAGUCGGGAUGAAGAUAUAGUCUAAUCUAGUAUAGAUUGAACAGGCUUAUCGGAUCCGAGAGUUCACAUCGACGAUCCGGUUUGGCACCUCGAUGUCGGCUCAUCGCAACCUGGGGGGGUAGCCCCUCCCAAGGGUCCGGCUGUUCGCCGGUUAAA